UUUCUCUCAUGAUUUAGCUGAACAGUAGCAAUUAUUAAUACAUCCUCCAAAAUAGACAUACACAUGAGAGAAAAACUCCACUUGAAAAAAGAAAAAAAAAAUAAUUAGGGAGGGAAAAAUCACUCCUAAGUGUAAAAAUCUUAUAAAUUGUCAAAAGAGUACUAGUAAUCAAAGUGUCUGACUUUCUCUUAUGCAAAUAUUACUGAAAAUCAUGCAUAUGCAAAUAAAGAUGCUUCUUUAUGACAGAGAUUAAAGACAUACAGUACAGUGAUUAGUAUUCCUUGUAUACAUUCAAAUACAGCAAGAUUGAUAUGCAAGCAAAAUGAAUUACAAUCCGGGAUAACACUCUAUUAUUAUCAUAUCACUCAAAACCAGUACCCAGUAGAUAAUAUAGCAUUCAGGGAAAUGUGAGAAUCUGGCAAAACAUUAGCAAGAGACAGGAAAAUUUCUCUUCCAGGAGUAUAAUUUUAUAUCACUCAUGAUUUAAAAAUCCAUAAGCUACAAACAAAAUACAAUGAAAAGUAUAUAAUGGUGUAAUUAUUUAUGAAACAAAAGCAGUUUUGCAUAUAUUUGUAGACCUAUGGAAAAGUUGAUGUUAUUGGAUCUUAGAUCCUGAGAAUCAAUGCUCAACUAGUCCAAAAAUUUUUCAUUAUAGAGGAAAGCUGUAACCGAAUCCAUUAUUGAGGGGGGAGGAGAGGUACUAAAUCCAAAUUAGAGAUUUAAUUUGAAAGCUGUUUGGGGGGACCAGCUCUUUCCUUAGGUCAAAGAUGGGUCUUAAAAUGUUAUGCAUGUCUGUUAAGAAGGACCAUUUACCCAAAAGUUUUCAGAGUUAGUUAUAUCACAGGUCGAGGUUAACAAUAAAUGUAGUUAUGGAGAAUUUCCUUUUGAAGAUUGAAUCACAUUAGCAAUUUAGGUAAUAAUAAUCUGUAGUUAUGGAUUAAUAAGGUGUCUUAUUCCUAGAUGGUUUAUUAGAAUUUCACUGAAAAAGAACAAAUAUGGUAUUUCUGAAAUUCACAUCCUUUAAAAAGGCAUACUGUGAAGAGUAGAUUGAUUUACUUCAAAUCUAUUGCCAGAUUUUUUUCAAAUCUCCAAGAUUCCCCAUAAUGUAUUCUCAGUGGUGGUUGAGUUAUUGCACCUCUUUUUAAGAAGUUGACAGACCUAUGCUACCUGAACAAAUCUCUAGUUCAUGUAUGACUUGGGAUUUGGAAAUGUUUGAAGUAUCACAUGCAAAGGUAGGGGUGAAAUAAGAAUUAGGCCUUUCAUUCUUGACUAUCUUCUAAAUUUGUCAAAAAAAAAAAUGAGGAUCCUAUAGAGAUUUAAUAGAGUAAAACAGCUAAGCAUCUUAAAUCAAAAGUGUAUUGCUGAGUAUCUAGGUUUUAAAUUCAGUGUUGUCUCUGGAGCAAUUUCACAUUAGGAAUGCCCAAUCUGUUGAACAGGAUUGAUUUUUGCUAAGUAUAUCUUGACAUCUAUUUCAAAAGUUAAUCUAUUUCCUUCCCAAAUGCUAGAAAUGAUCAGGGUUUAACUUCCUACUUGGAUGAUGAUAAUGAUGAUAUUAAGACACCAAUAACAUAGUUGUAUGGAGUUAUAUAAUCUUUAUGAAUUAGCUUGAUCAUAAAAAUACAGAAAGGGACAUGGGUAGAUUUUACCAUAAACCUUAGAUAUCUAGGGAGAAAGCGGAGAUAAAUGACCAACCAAAACUAUAUGUCAAGGCCACAAGGUUAAGUGGGAUGAGCUAACUGGGUAAUAAAACUCUUAUUAAGAGUACUCUAUAGUAGGUAGAUAUACUACUUCUCUCUUACUAUCUAAUGUCAAAAUUCCCUUGGUCUUAAACUUCAUUUGAAAAUAGAAAAAUUGAUGUUUGGAGUGCACAAUGUCUGCUAAUAUUUCCUAUAGUAAUGUUUCAGUUUGUAAUCAGUUAUCAGAGCUGAAGUUUGUUUGCACUUAAAAAAAGAUCCUAGGAGUUCCCUUGUAGCACAAUGGGCCCAGUGUUGUCACUACAAUGGCUUGGAUCACUGCUGUGACAUGGCUUCAGUCCCUAGCCCAGGAACUUCCAUAUGCUAUAGGUCAGCCAAAAAAGUGACUCUAUUUUUACAAGAAUCAUUUGCAAAUGAUUGUUUUAUGUUCGGUUGCUUUUUCCCUCCAUAGCAAUGUCAUUUGCAUUUCACACAAAAGGCAUUAUCAAUCAUAUCUUUUGUGUGGAAAUCAAGUUAUACAACUGUACUAAAAUAUGAGGUUAAUUUUUUAUGUUAUUGCUCAUUUAAUUUAAUUUAUUCAUAUUUUCCUAGUUUUAUCGAGAUAUAAUUAACAAAUAAAGUCGUAUGUAUUUAAAGUACACAAUAUGACGGUUUGAUAUAUGUAUACAUUUUAAAAUGAUCACCACAAUCAAGUUAAUUGAAAUCAAUUUCAAAAAUUAAUAAUAAUUUCCAUUUCCUUUUUGGUGAUGAGGACACCUAAUAUCCAUUCUCUUAGCAAAUUUCAGUUAUACAAUAUAUUAUUACCUAUAGUCACAGUUCUAUACAUUAGUUCACCAAAAGUUAUUCCAUCAGUGGACAUAAGUUUCAUCCAGCCCAAGAGUUCCAGGCUGCCCCUUCUGAUGAACUACUCAAAAGAUUUUGCCUUGCCUAGACAGCCCCACUACUGUGUGGGUGCACCCUUCCCUAGCCACUUUGAGUGUUGGCUACUAACACUCUAAGCCGCAUCUUCUGAGAAUCACCCUCUACACACUAGGAGGUUGGCUCCACAACCCCCAACCCAUACAAAUCCUUGUGAAUAUAUUGUGUCCAGCUGAUAAUCUGUAAUAAUCUAUUUUAAGUUGAAUCCUUUAAAUGUGUUAAUAUGACUUCUGGUCCAAGAUAGUGACUUAAAAGGCUCCUGGACUCAUAUCCUCCCACAGACUAACUGAAUAUAUAGCAACACAUGGAUCAAUUUCCACUGAAAGAAAUUAAAAACUAGCUGAGUAACUCCAGAACAUAUGAACAAGAAAAAAAAAAA
This 2991-nucleotide long non-coding RNA is filed under the name Sus scrofa (pig). RNAcentral describes it as "lncRNA (ENSSSCG00060041417.1)". The record is from RNAcentral. Lineage: Eukaryota; Metazoa; Chordata; Mammalia; Artiodactyla; Suidae.